AUUGAACGCUGGCGGCAGGCCUAACACAUGCAAGUCGAGCGGUAACAGAGAGAAGCUUGCUUCUCUGCUGACGAGCGGCGGACGGGUGAGUAAUACUUGGGAAUUUGCCUUUAGGCGGGGGACAACCACGGGAAACUGUGGCUAAUACCGCAUAAUGUCUACGGACCAAAGUGGGGGACCUUCGGGCCUCACACCUAAAGAUGAGCCCAAGCGGGAUUAGCUAGUUGGUGGGGUAAAGGCUCACCAAGGCGACGAUCCCUAGCUGUUCUGAGAGGAUGAUCAGCCACACUGGGACUGAGACACGGCCCAGACUCCUACGGGAGGCAGCAGUGGGGAAUAUUGCACAAUGGGGGAAACCCUGAUGCAGCCAUGCCGCGUGUGUGAAGAAGGCCUUCGGGUUGUAAAGCACUUUCAGCGACGAGGAAGGGUGUUGUAUUAAUAGUGCAGCACAUGAC
RNAcentral lists this ribosomal RNA (455 nucleotides) under Idiomarina loihiensis. RNAcentral's name for it is "bacterial SSU rRNA". It matches the Rfam family "Bacterial small subunit ribosomal RNA", at positions 30 to 473 of the family's 1533-position model. Lineage: Bacteria; Pseudomonadati; Pseudomonadota; Gammaproteobacteria; Alteromonadales; Idiomarinaceae. The record is from RNAcentral.